AAUAGGUUUGCGCGGGACAAUGCUUAGGUUGCUCUUAGAGCGGCAGCCCCAAGUGGGUGGGUUCCUAAGCCCCGGAGCCUUUAUUUGU
This 88-nucleotide non-coding RNA is filed under the name unclassified sequences. Its description in RNAcentral is "DUF3800-VII RNA". It matches the Rfam family "DUF3800-VII RNA". The record is from Rfam by way of RNAcentral.